GAACGCUAGCGGCAGGCUUAAUACAUGCAAGUCAAACGGGCCAUAGCAAUAUGGUCAGUGGCGGACGGGUGAGUAACGCGUACACAACGUACCUUAUAGGAGGGGAUAGCAUUUAGGGAAACGGGUGGUAACUACCCCAUAGUAUCGAGAUGAGGCAUCUUAUUUUGAUUAAAGUUGAGGCGCUAUAAGAUCGGUGUGCGUCUGAUUAGGUAGUUGGUAGGGUAACGGCCUACCAAGCCGACGAUCAGUAGGGGGCGUGAGAGCGUGGACCCCCACACGGGUACUGAGACACGGACCCGACUCCUACGGGAGGCAGCAGUAAGGAAUAUUGGUCAAUGCUCGGAAGAGUGAACCAGCCAUGCCGCGUGCAGGAUGACUGCCCUUUGGGUUGUAAACUGCUUUUGUCAGGGAAGAAAACGCUGGAUUUAUCCGGUCUUGACGGUACCUGAAGAAUAAGCACCGGCUAACUCCGUG
Molecule: ribosomal RNA, 474 nt
Filed under: uncultured bacterium
Lineage: Bacteria
Description: bacterial SSU rRNA
Rfam family: Bacterial small subunit ribosomal RNA
Source: RNAcentral